This 190-nucleotide ribosomal RNA is filed under the name uncultured bacterium. Its description in RNAcentral is "partial 16S ribosomal RNA". It matches the Rfam family "Bacterial small subunit ribosomal RNA", at positions 337 to 525 of the family's 1533-position model. The record is from RNAcentral.
UCCUACGGGAGGCAGCAGUGAGGAAUAUUGGACAAUGGUCGGAAGACUGAUCCAGCCAUGCCGCGUGAAGGAAAAGGUCCUAUGGAUUUUCAACUUCUUUUGUACGGGAGCAAUAAGGGUCACGCGUGGCCCGAUGAGAGUACCGUACGAAUAAGCAUCGGCUAACUCCGUGCCAGCAGCCGCGGUAAUA